RNAcentral lists this microRNA precursor (95 nucleotides) under Canis lupus familiaris (dog). RNAcentral describes it as "mir-8799 microRNA precursor family". It matches the Rfam family "mir-8799 microRNA precursor family". The record is from Rfam by way of RNAcentral. RNAcentral also lists the same sequence under 1 other name. Lineage: Eukaryota; Metazoa; Chordata; Mammalia; Carnivora; Canidae.
GGGGUAGUGCCGGAUCUUGGUCUGUGUCCCCCAGCGCCCUGGGCUCUGGGGCCUGCACUGCUGGAAUUGCCACUCCCAGGGCCACGCAUCCCCCU